GUGCCAGCCGCCGCGGUAAUACGUAGGUGGCAAGCGUUAUCCGGAAUUAUUGGGCGUAAAGCGCGCGUAGGCGGUUUUUUAAGUCUGAUGUGAAAGCCCACGGCUCAACCGUGGAGGGUCAUUGGAAACUGGAAAACUUGAGUGCGGAAGAGGAAAGUGGAAUUCCAUGUGUAGCGGUGAAAUGCGCAGAGAUAUGGAGGAACACCAGUGGCGAAGGCGACUUUCUGGUCUGUAACUGACGCUGAUGUGCUAAAGCGUGGGGAUCAAACAGGAU
Molecule: ribosomal RNA, 274 nt
Filed under: uncultured Staphylococcus sp.
Lineage: Bacteria; Bacillati; Bacillota; Bacilli; Caryophanales; Staphylococcaceae
Description: partial 16S ribosomal RNA
Rfam family: Bacterial small subunit ribosomal RNA
Source: RNAcentral